This 694-nucleotide ribosomal RNA is filed under the name uncultured bacterium. Its description in RNAcentral is "bacterial SSU rRNA". It matches the Rfam family "Bacterial small subunit ribosomal RNA", at positions 32 to 715 of the family's 1533-position model. The record is from RNAcentral.
AACGCUAGCUACAGGCUUAACACAUGCAAGUCGAGGGGUAACAAGAGGAAAGCUUGCUUUUCUCGUUGACGACCGGCGCACGGGUGAGUAACGCGUAUCCAACCUGCCCACCACUUGGGGAUAACCUUGCGAAAGUAAGACUAAUACCCAAUGAUAUCUCUAGAAGACAUCUGAAGGAGAUUAAAGAUUUAUCGGUGAUGGAUGGGGAUGCGUCUGAUUAGCUUGUUGGCGGGGUAACGGCCCACCAAGGCUACGAUCAGUAGGGGUUCUGAGAGGAAGGUCCCCCACAUUGGAACUGAGACACGGUCCAAACUCCUACGGGAGGCAGCAGUGAGGAAUAUUGGUCAAUGGGCGAGAGCCUGAACCAGCCAAGUAGCGUGCAGGAUGACGGCCCUAUGGGUUGUAAACUGCUUUUAUAAGGGAAUAAAGUGAGCCUCGUGAGGCUUUUUGCAUGUACCUUAUGAAUAAGGACCGGCUAAUUCCGUGCCAGCAGCCGCGGUAAUACGGAAGGUCCGGGCGUUAUCCGGAUUUAUUGGGUUUAAAGGGAGCGUAGGCCGGAGAUUAAGCGUGUUGUGAAAUGUAGACGCUCAACGUCUGCACUGCAGCGCGAACUGGUUUCCUUGAGUACGCACAAAGUGGGCGGAAUUCGUGGUGUAGCGGUGAAAUGCUUAGAUAUCACGAAGAACUCCGAUUG